This 449-nucleotide ribosomal RNA is filed under the name uncultured bacterium. Its description in RNAcentral is "partial 16S ribosomal RNA". It matches the Rfam family "Bacterial small subunit ribosomal RNA", at positions 29 to 523 of the family's 1533-position model. The record is from RNAcentral.
AACGAACGCUGGCGGCAUGCCUAACACAUGCAAGUCGAACGAAGGCUUCGGCCCUAGUGGCGCACGGGUGAGUAACGCGUGGGAAACUGCCUAUUGGUGGGGAAUAACGACGGGAAACUGUCGCUAAUACCGCAUAAGCCCUUCGGGGGAAAGAUUUAUCGCCGAUAGAUGUGCCCGCGUCCGAUUAGCUAGUUGGUGAGGUAAUGGCUCACCAAGGCGACGAUCGGUAGCUGGUCUGAGAGGAUGAUCAGCCACACUGGGACUGAGACACGGCCCAGACUCCUACGGGAGGCAGCAGUGGGGAAUAUUGGACAAUGGGCGAAAGCCUGAUCCAGCAAUGCCGCGUGAGUGAUGAAGGCCUUAGGGUUGUAAAGCUCUUUCGGGUGGGACGAUGAUGGCGGUACCACCAGAAGAAGCCCCGGCUAACUUCGUGCCAGCAGCCGCCGUAA